UAUUGGUCAAUGGGCGUAAGCCUGAACCAGCCAAGUCGCGUGAGGGAGGACGGCCCUACGGGUUGUAAACCUCUUUUGCCGGGGGGCAAACGGCGGCACGCGUGCCGUCCUGAGGGUACCCGGAGAAAAAGCAUCGGCUCACUCCGUGACAGCAGCCGCGGUAAUACGGAGGAUGCGAGCGUUAUCCGGAUUUAUUGGGUUUAAAGGGUGCGUAGGCGGGCUGUUAAGUCAGCGGUCAAAUGUCGGGGCUCAACCCCGGCCUGCCGUUGAAACUGGCGGCCUCGAGUGGGCGAGAAGUAUGCGGAAUGCGUGGUGUAGCGGUGAAAUGCAUAGAUAUCACGCAGAACUCCGAUUGCGAAGGCAGCAUACCGGCGCCCUACUGACGCCGAGGCACGAAAGCGUGGGUAUCGAACAGGA
RNAcentral lists this ribosomal RNA (417 nucleotides) under uncultured bacterium. RNAcentral's name for it is "bacterial SSU rRNA". It matches the Rfam family "Bacterial small subunit ribosomal RNA", at positions 362 to 777 of the family's 1533-position model. The record is from RNAcentral.